GCUUAGCUCAGUUGGUAGAGCAUCUGCCUUACAAGCAGGGGGUCAUAGGUUCGAGCCCUAUAGC
RNAcentral lists this transfer RNA (64 nucleotides) under human oral metagenome. It matches the Rfam family "tRNA", at positions 5 to 66 of the family's 71-position model. From Rfam's summary of the family: Transfer RNA (tRNA) molecules are approximately 80 nucleotides in length. The record is from RNAcentral.